RNAcentral lists this ribosomal RNA (474 nucleotides) under uncultured organism. RNAcentral's name for it is "partial 16S ribosomal RNA". It matches the Rfam family "Bacterial small subunit ribosomal RNA", at positions 331 to 797 of the family's 1533-position model. The record is from RNAcentral.
GUACACUCCUACGGGAGGCAGCAGUGGGGAAUUUUGGACAAUGGGCGAAAGCCUGAUCCAGCAAUGCCGCGUGAGUGAAGAAGGCCUUCGGGUUGUAAAGCUCUUUUGUCAGGGAAGAAACGGUGAGAGCUAAUAUCUCUUGCUAAUGACGGUACCUGAAGAAUAAGCACCGGCUAACUACGUGCCAGCAGCCGCGGUAAUACGUAGGGUGCAAGCGUUAAUCGGAAUUACUGGGCGUAAAGCGUGCGCAGGCGGUUUUGUAAGUCUGAUGUGAAAUCCCCGGGCUCAACCUGGGAAUUGCAUUGGAGACUGCAAGGCUAGAAUCUGGCAGAGGGGGGUAGAAUUCCACGUGUAGCAGUGAAAUGCGUAGAUAUGUGGAGGAACACCGAUGGCGAAGGCAGCCCCCUGGGUCAAGAUUGACGCUCAUGCACGAAAGCGUGGGGAGCAAACAGGAUUAGAAACCCGUGUAGUCCC